UGGGAUGUUGGUAUACCAUGGGUAAAAUGC
RNAcentral lists this non-coding RNA (30 nucleotides) under Homo sapiens (human). Lineage: Eukaryota; Metazoa; Chordata; Mammalia; Primates; Hominidae. The record is from RNAcentral.